GACGAAGGGGGCUAGCGUUGCUCGGAAUUACUGGGCGUAAAGGGCGCGUAGGCGGCACUGUUAGUCAGGCGUGAAAGUCCUGGGCUCAACCUGGGAACUGCGCUUGAUACGGCAGAGCUAGAGGAUGGAAGAGGGUCGCGGAAUUCCCAGUGUAGAGGUGAAAUUCGUAGAUAUUGGGAAGAACACCGGUGGCGAAGGCGGCGACCUGGUCCAUUACUGACGCUGAGGCGCGACAGCGUGGGGAGCAAACAGG
Molecule: ribosomal RNA, 253 nt
Filed under: uncultured bacterium
Lineage: Bacteria
Description: partial 16S ribosomal RNA
Rfam family: Bacterial small subunit ribosomal RNA
Source: RNAcentral